Molecule: ribosomal RNA, 946 nt
Filed under: Streptococcus sp.
Lineage: Bacteria; Bacillati; Bacillota; Bacilli; Lactobacillales; Streptococcaceae
Description: bacterial SSU rRNA
Rfam family: Bacterial small subunit ribosomal RNA
Source: RNAcentral
ACGCUGAAGAGAGGAGCUUGCUCUUCUUGGAUGAGUUGCGAACGGGUGAGUAACGCGUAGGUAACCUGCCUUGUAGCGGGGGAUAACUAUUGGAAACGAUAGCUAAUACCGCAUAACAAUGGAUGACACAUGUCAUUUAUUUGAAAGGGGCAAUUGCUCCACUACAAGAUGGACCUGCGUUGUAUUAGCUAGUAGGUGAGGUAACGGCUCACCUAGGCGACGAUACAUAGCCGACCUGAGAGGGUGAUCGGCCACACUGGGACUGAGACACGGCCCAGACUCCUACGGGAGGCAGCAGUAGGGAAUCUUCGGCAAUGGGGGCAACCCUGACCGAGCAACGCCGCGUGAGUGAAGAAGGUUUUCGGAUCGUAAAGCUCUGUUGUAAGUCAAGAACGAGUGUGAGAGUGGAAAGUUCACACUGUGACGGUCGCUUACCAGAAAGGGACGGCUAACUACGUGCCAGCAGCCGCGGUAAUACGUAUGUCCCGAGCGUUGUCCGGAUUUAUUGGGCGUAAAGCGAGCGCAGGCGGUUUGAUAAGUCUGAAGUUAAAGGCUGUGGCUCAACCAUAGUUCGCUUUGGAAACUGUCAAACUUGAGUGCAGAAGGGGAGAGUGGAAUUCCAUGUGUAGCGGUGAAAUGCGUAGAUAUAUGGAGGAACACCGGUGGCGAGAGCGGCUCUCUGGUCUGUAACUGACGCUGAGGCUCGAAAGCGUGGAGAGCGAACAGGAUUAGAUACCCUGGUAGUCCACGCCGUACACGAUGAGUGCUAGGUGUUGGAUCCUUUCCGGGAUUCAGUGCCGCAGCUAACGCAUUAAGCACUCCGCCGGGGGAGUACGACCGCAGGGUUGAAACUCAGAGGAAUUGACGGGCGCCCGCACAAGCGGUGGAGCAUGUUGUUUAAUUCGAAGCAACGCGAAGAACCUUACCAGGUCUUGACUCCCGAUGC